This 440-nucleotide ribosomal RNA is filed under the name uncultured bacterium. RNAcentral's name for it is "partial 16S ribosomal RNA". It matches the Rfam family "Bacterial small subunit ribosomal RNA", at positions 338 to 795 of the family's 1533-position model. The record is from RNAcentral.
CCUACGGGGGGCAGCAGUAGGGAAUAUUGCUCAAUGGGGGAAACCCUGAAGCAGCAACGCCGCGUGGAGGAUGAAGGUUUUCGGAUUGUAAACUCCUGUUGUUAGAGAAGAAAAUGACGGUAUCUAACGAAUAAGCGCCUGCUAACUCCGUGCCAGCAGCCGCGGUAAUACGGUGGGUGCAAGCGUUACUCGGUAUCAAUGUGCGUAAAGGGCGCGUAGGCGGGAUAGCUAGUCAGAUGUGAAAGCCGAUGGCUUAACCACAGGACUGCAUUUGAUACUGUUAUUCUAGAGUUUGGGAGAGGUAGGUGGAAUUCUAUGUGAAGCGGUAAAAUCCGUAGAGAUAAAGAGGAACACUCAAGGCGAAGGCGACCUGCUAGAACAAAACUGACGCUGAGGCGCGAAAGCGUGGGGAGCAAACAGGAUUAGAUACCCGGGUAGUC